UGCAACGGCCGGUAAUCGAACUCGGGCCCGCCCGCGUGGCAGGCGAACAUUUUACCACUGAACCACCUAUGC
Non-coding RNA from Cordylochernes scorpioides, 72 nucleotides. Lineage: Eukaryota; Metazoa; Arthropoda; Arachnida; Pseudoscorpiones; Chernetidae. The record is from the annotation of a GenBank genome assembly.